RNAcentral lists this long non-coding RNA (3353 nucleotides) under Lactuca sativa (garden lettuce). RNAcentral describes it as "long non-coding RNA (LSAT_LNC000894)". Lineage: Eukaryota; Viridiplantae; Streptophyta; Magnoliopsida; Asterales; Asteraceae. The record is from RNAcentral.
CUUUGCUUUAGGUAAAAUCCAUUGACUAACUCUUUUAAGCUUCAUUCUAGAUUCUUAAUACAUAAUGUCAUAAGAUUACAAUUGAUGUUUUGUAGGAUCGAAGAAAAGAAAGGAAGCUUAAGGGAAGAAGUGAGCAGAAUCUAACCAUGAAGAAAUGGAUUUCGAUCGCAUUACUUGGAAAUUAGAUUCUUGAGUUGCUACUUAGAGUUAAAAUUAGAUUGCUAAGAAAUAUGUAUUAGCAUAGUUUUUCAAUGAAUUGCAUUGUAAGGACAAAUUUUUCCACAAUAAAAUAAAUUUUGAAUUUUGUAUUAUUUAUUUAUCCUUACAAUGGCGUAUAUGAAAAAAUUGAUGUUUGGAUGUUUCUAUUAUUAGCAAUAAUGGAUUUGAUUCUUAUUUAUGGAAAUGUCGAAAAUUUACCAAAUAAGGAGAGUUUCUCAUCGACCAAGUUUCAAUUGGACGGAAACUUGGAAUCAUGCAACUUGGUUGCACGAUGAAUGAGAAAUUUCAUAUUUGGAAAUUAGACUAAUUCAUUGACAAAGUGUCAAGUGAAGGACUAAGAGAUCGAGUACACAAAGUUGUGUGUUGAUCAAGUCCACCAUAAGAGUAAACAAGAUAUUCGUCAUGAUUUACUAAAGGUUUAGUAAAUAUGAUUAUACUUAUAAGAUUAAGUGUAAUUCUGAAUUGAUUGAAAAAGUUUAAAUCAAUAGCAGAACGAAUAAGAAGAAUCAAGUAGGCAGAAAGAUAAAAGUUUCUCCAUUCUAAGAAGAAGGGAGAGUACCUUUUAUGCUUUAUGAUAAGUCUUAAUGAUUAAGAACCAUAUCUCAAUUGAUCCUCUAAGUGAGUCUUAGUACAAUUGUAUGUCUAAGAAGAGGAAUCAAGAAUUGAAGAAAUGGUUAAAUCAAGAAGUCAAUCAUACUUCGUUCCAAAACAAGUCUUAGAGUUAAGAUUGUGACAUUGAGUGAAAAGUAUUAAGAAGGUUUAUAACAUUCAUCAAAUGUGGAAAGUUGUGAUGUCUUGGAUAAGACAAAGACCAACUAGGACCAAUUUAUGAAGUGUUUUGAUAAAAACUACACUAACUCUUGAAUAUUUGUUUGUCAAGAAAUGUUUAUUGACAAGAGAAUCUUAUAUGUCAAGGAGUCAGUGGGAGUCUUAAUGGUCUUGAAAGGUUUCAAGAACAAAUCAAAUAAACCUUAUCGAUCAUCACUAGCACACGAGUUGAGGUUUACAACCUAUCGUGUUGACAUUAUUUUGUUUCUGUGCCAAUCCAAUCGAGUUAAUUAUGCAUGUGAGUUCUAUGAGUUCUCAUUUUGAACGCAUAAAAGGCAAAGCACCUUAAUCAAUGAAAGGUACAUUGAUAGGAAAGGGUGAGCUGCUUAACUACUUGGAAGACAUGGUGGGCAGCUGUGCUACCAUAAGGCAAGAAAUCAAGAUUAAGAAAGUUCGGUCCAUAUGAGUUUGAAUUUGUCGUAAACUUUGGUUUUAACAAAUUCACAUGGAUAGGAACACAUACACCGUUUAAAUCUAAGUGUCAUAAGAUUUCCUCCUUCAUGAAAAUGAUUGUGAGGAAAUGCUUUCACUAAGAAAGAUUUUAAGAAGAUAGUGAUUGUAAAAUUGCAUUCUCGAAUUCGAUUAUGGUUACGGUAUCCCUUUCCAUAAUUUGAAUUGUGAGGUUUGGCAAUUAGUCUUAAUUGUUUAGACACACAUAUGAACUAUCGAAGGCAAAGGUGUAUAAGUUCAAGAAGCCUUGAUAAAAGAUUAUCAAAGCACUAAGUAUUAGAAACAUGAACUUAAGAAAUUCAAUAAGUAUUGUUUUUCUGAAAGUUAAGAUGUUUAUGAAUACAUGUCGAAGCUAGUGGGAGCAUAAGUGUUAUGUUUUAUAAUAAUCAUCAUGAUAGUGGGAGCAUAAAUGUUAUGAUUGUAUGAUUAUUAAGGCACGUAUUGCAAGCUGGCAAUAUUAAUUAUAGAAAACAAGAGUUAUACCUUGCAAAGUCGUAUGGGUUGUAAAUUUGUUUUGCUAUAAUUAAGGGAGAGAAUAUUAUGCUUCAUUUCACAUAUAAAGGAUUAGGUUAAGAAAUGCUAAUAAAUUUAGUCAAAGGUACAUAGUGUGUUCUUAAAAUUUCGAUUAUGAUUACGNUGAUUACGACAUUCCUCUUCACAAUUCGAAUUUUGAGAACAUAGCAAAUAAAACAUUAUGCGUCGUGUCCCAUACGCUUCAGGUAUAGGAUCGAUUGCAAAUGCUUUAAUAUUUGACCAUUCUAAAAUUUUCCAAAUAUCUAGCGCAUUUAGAGGGAAAAAGGACUAGAAUCGGUUUUGACUAAAAUAAUUAAAUAACUAUCAAAGGACAAUCCAAAGUUCGGCAAGGAUUGGUUGCUUGUGAGUAGAUGGAAUCAUGGUAUUGAAUGGACCAUAUCGACCUUAUUAAGAAUGAGUUGUCAUAUGGAAAAUAUGUAAAUGCUUCCAUAUUGGAUGGACCAUGUCGACAUUAUUAUGAAUAGAUAANNNNNNNNNNNNNNNNNNNNNNNNNNNNNNNNNNNNNNNNNNNNNNNNNNNNNNNNNNNNNNNNNNNNNNNNNNNNNNNNNNNNNNNNNNNNNNNNNNNNAGCAGAAUCUAACCAUGAAGAAAUGGAUUUCGAUCGCAUUACUUGGAAAUUAGAUUCUUGAGUUGCUACUUAGAGUUAAAAUUAGAUUGCUAAGAAAUAUGUAUUAGCAUAGUUUUUCAAUGAAUUGCAUUGUAAGGACAAAUUUUUCCACAAUAAAAUAAAUUUUGAAUUUUGUAUUAUUUAUUUAUCCUUACAAUGGCGUAUAUGAAAAAAUUGAUGUUUGGAUGUUUCUAUUAUUAGCAAUAAUGGAUUUGAUUCUUAUUUAUGGAAAUGUCGAAAAUUUACCAAAUAAGGAGAGUUUCUCAUCGACCAAGUUUCAAUUGGACGGAAACUUGGAAUCAUGCAACUUGGUUGCACGAUGAAUGAGAAAUUUCAUAUUUGGAAAUUAGACUAAUUCAUUGACAAAGUGUCAAGUGAAGGACUAAGAGAUCGAGUACACAAAGUUGUGUGCUGAUCAAGUCCACCAUAAGAGUAAACAAGAUAUUCGUCAUAUUUACUAAAGGUUUAGUAAAUAUGAUUAUACUUAUAAGAUUAAGUGUAAUUCUGAAUUGAUUGAAAAUGUUUAAAUCAAUAGCAGAACGAAUAAGAAGAAUCAAGUAGGCAGAAAGAUAAAAGUUUCUCCAUUCUAAGAAGAAGGGAGAGUACCUUUUAUGCUUUAUGAUAGGUCUUAAUGAUUAAGAACCAUAUCUCAAUUGAUCCUCUAAGUGAGUCUUAGUACAAUUGUAUGUCUAAGAAGAGGAAUCAAGAAUUGAAG